UACGGAGGGUGCGAGCGUUGUUCGGAAUUACUGGGCGUAAAGCGCGCGCAGGCGGGACCUGCAAGUCGGAAGUGAAAUCCCGGGGCUCAACUCCGGGGCUGCUUUCGAAACUGCGGACCUAGAGACCCGUAGGGGUUGCUGGAAUUCCCAGUGUAGCGGUGAAAUGCGUAGAUAUUGGGAAGAACACCCGUGGCGAAGGCGGCGAACUGGGCUGCAUCUGACGCUGAGGCGCGAAAGCGUGGGGAGCAAACGGG
This 254-nucleotide unclassified non-coding RNA is filed under the name uncultured Gemmatimonadota bacterium. RNAcentral describes it as "uncultured Gemmatimonadetes bacterium contains 16S-23S intergenic spacer region". It matches the Rfam family "Bacterial small subunit ribosomal RNA", at positions 524 to 776 of the family's 1533-position model. The record is from RNAcentral. Lineage: Bacteria; Pseudomonadati; Gemmatimonadota.